This 1851-nucleotide ribosomal RNA is filed under the name Triticum aestivum (bread wheat). Its description in RNAcentral is "partial small subunit ribosomal RNA". The record is from RNAcentral. Lineage: Eukaryota; Viridiplantae; Streptophyta; Magnoliopsida; Poales; Poaceae.
AUGACCAUGACGAGCCGACGACAGCGUAGCGGUGCCACACAGGGAUUGAGCCGAAGAUGCUCGGGGCCGAAGCUCCACACGGACGCACGGUCGAAACCCGUUGUAACUACGUCUGAAUCCUCUGUAUACCGACCAUAUCCGAAGCAUGAGCCAACCUUGCCUGCACAGCAUGUCUACAGUUUCAGAACGGGAAUCAAUCGUGCUUCCAAUGGCAAUGGCCUUCGCCUCUCUUCCUCCUCCCAUCCUCUCCCCCGAGAUCCAGACCCUCCCUUCCCGGCGAGCUCGCCAAGUUCGCAUCCUCUUAAUUUCGUGGAGCACUCUGCCUCAGUUGUACUACUGAAACCUACAGAUGGCGGUUCAGAUGCUUUGUGCACUUCGUCGGCAGUAUGGAAGGGUAUUAGUCAUGGUCUGGAUCUGCUGAAGAAGGGGAUUAUCUGGAGAGUUGGUGAUGGUACCUUAAUUAAAACCUGGCGUGAUCCUUGGAUUCCACGGGGGCACGACCUCAGGCCAAUUACACCAAAGAGAAAUUGUCGUUAUAAUUGGGUCGCGGACUUUCUGGAUGAACAUGGAGCAUGGAAUGUGCAGCGACUAAGAGAGCACUUUUGGGACAUGGAUGUUUGUGAAAUUCUAAAAAUCCGUACUUCUCCAAGGAAUCAACAAGAUUUCAUUGGUUGGUUCCCGGAGAAGAACGGAUGCUUUUCUGUGAGGAGCGCCUACCGGCUGGCAACCGGGAAUCAUGCGACAGGUUUAGCACGUACGGAGGAUAUUAUUAAAGGAAAAAUGCUAGUGAAGAAGGACGUCCACAGCGUUCAAGCCAGUGUGUUCACCAAGGUUUUGCCUUGGCCUCCACCGCCGGCGAACCGGGUGGCACUUUCCGUUGACGGAGCGUUCUCUUCGGCUGAUGGCUCGGCAGCGACAGGGAUGAUCUUGAGGAGACAUGAUGGUUCUAUCAUCUUUGCAGCAUACCGCUGCUUAUUUAACUGCAACGAUGCUCUGGAGGCGGAGUUGCAUGCACUAAUGCAGGGUAUGGCGUUGGCCGUGCAACAUACCAAUGUUCCUAUUAUCGUCCAAUCGGCCUCCUCCGAGGCAUUGACGGCGUUGUCGGGAGAUAAUCUGUCCCGGUCAGCAUAUGGGCAUUUGAUAGCUGAGAUUAAGCAUCUUAUGGUAGAUCAGUGGGAUUUGAACCCACGCCCUUUCGGACCAGUACCUGAAACUGGCGCCUUAGACCAACUCGGCCAUCUUGACGUUCUGACCACCGUGUCGACAACAGCUUUCAUAUACAAUUCCUUAGCAUCCUCCGCAAUCUCAAAGGGCCGGCUGCGAUCCUUCUCAAGCUUGGCAUCGCUGGACUUCGACUCCAGUCUUUGUCCCAUCUUCCGCGCCUCCACUUUGGGGUAUGUUAGGGAUGGGUUCUCCCGGUUCCGGACUGAUCACUGGAUCAAUGGCAGUCAAUCCCUAAGAUCACACCUCUCAUUUAUCCUCACGUCUUAUUGCAACAAGAUUUGCUUGUUCCACGAGGGCUUUGCCUUGUUGUUCGUGAUUCGAAGGCAUUCGUGGUUACCCUCGGUACUGCUGCCAUGGUCCAGUAGCUAUGACUUGAAGUGCUCUCCUGGUGCACAUCCACUAUUGUUGUGCCUAGCCAAGACUUCCCCUUCAGGCUGUGGUGGGCGGGCUCCCUUCAUCAGACGUCGGAUGCCCUUUGCAAGGUAUUCGCCUCCAUCGGGGUGCUCACGGCCUGCUAGCUUUGGAAGCUCAGGAACAACUACAACUUGCAUGACAAGCACCCUUUGUGAGGCACCUGAUCCUAACCAUUCAAGAGGAUGUGCAUCUUUGGGAAGCCAAGGGUUCUGA